Molecule: ribosomal RNA, 485 nt
Filed under: uncultured bacterium
Lineage: Bacteria
Description: bacterial SSU rRNA
Rfam family: Bacterial small subunit ribosomal RNA
Source: RNAcentral
GAUGAACGCUAGCGGCAGGCUUAACACAUGCAAGUCGAGGGGCAACACGGGUAGCAAUACCUGGUGGCGACCGGCGCAAGGGUGCGUAACGCGUGAGCAACAUGCCCUAUACAGGGGGAUAAUCCAGGGAAACUUGGUCUAAUAUCCCAUAGUAUUUAGAGGUGGCAUCACCACUAAAUUAAAGCUUCGGUGGUAUAGGAUUGGCUCGCGUGACAUUAGCUUGAUGGUGGGGUAACGGCUCACCAUGGCGAUGAUGUCUAGGGGUUCUGAGAGGAAGACCCCCCACACUGGGACUGAGACACGGCCCAGACUCCUACGGGAGGCAGCAGUGAGGAAUAUUGGACAAUGGGAUGGAAAUCUGAUCCAGCCAUGCCGCGUGCAGGAAGACGGCCCUAUGGGUUGUAAACUGCUUUUAUAUGGGAGCAAUAAGGUUUACGCGUAGACCGAUGAGAGUACCAUAUGAAUAAGCAUCGGCUAACUCCGUG